GACGAACGCUGGCGGCGUGCUUAACACAUGCAAGUCGAACGGAAAGGCCCUGCUUUUGUGGGGUGCCCGAGUGGCGAACGGGUGAGUAACACGUGUGUAUCCUGCUCUUGACUUUGGGAUAACUUCAGGAAACUGGGGCUAAUAUCGGAUAGGAGCUCCUGUUGCAUGGUGGGGGUUGGAAAGUCUCGGCGGGUGCGGUUGGAUGGGCGGCUUAUCAGUUUGUUGGUGGGGUAGUGGCUUACCAAGGCAUUGAAGGAUCGCCGGCAUGAGAGGGUGACCGGCGACAAGAGGACUAAGAUACGGACCAGACGGGAACGGUAGACAACGGGGGGAAAUAUUACACAAUGGGCGGAAGUGUGAUACAGAAACGCCGCGUGCGGAAAGACGGCUUUCGGGUUAAGAACCGCUGUCGCCUGUGACGAAGCGGGAGUGACGGUAAUGAAUAAAGAAGCACCGGCUAACUACGUG
RNAcentral lists this ribosomal RNA (468 nucleotides) under uncultured bacterium. Its description in RNAcentral is "partial 16S ribosomal RNA". It matches the Rfam family "Bacterial small subunit ribosomal RNA", at positions 28 to 507 of the family's 1533-position model. The record is from RNAcentral.